Molecule: signal recognition particle RNA, 101 nt
Filed under: Anaerococcus tetradius
Lineage: Bacteria; Bacillati; Bacillota; Tissierellia; Tissierellales; Peptoniphilaceae
Also listed under: 1 other name
Description: Bacterial signal recognition particle RNA
Rfam family: Bacterial small signal recognition particle RNA
About the family: The signal recognition particle (SRP) is a universally conserved ribonucleoprotein involved in the co-translational targeting of proteins to membranes. Archaeal SRP consists of a 7S RNA and homologues of the eukaryotic SRP19 and SRP54 proteins. In most bacteria, the SRP consists of a 4.5S RNA and the Ffh protein (a homologue of the eukaryotic SRP54 protein).
Source: RNAcentral
UGUUAGGUCUUACGCAACAGGAAGCUGUGAAUCAUGUCAGGACGGGAACGUAGCAGCAUUAAGCAGUCCUUUCUGUGUGCCGUAAGGUCACCUAACAUGAG